GACGAACGCUGGCGGCGUGCUUAACACAUGCAAGUCGAACGGAAAGGCCCUGCUUUUGUGGGGUGCUCGAGUGGCGAACGGGUGAGUAACACGUGAGUAACCUGCCCUUGACUUUGGGAUAACUUCAGGAAACUGGGGCUAAUAUCGGAUAGGAGCUCCCGCUGCAUGGUGGGGGUUGGAAAGUUUCGGCGGUUGGGGUUGGACUCGCGGCUUAUCAGCUUGUUGGUGGGGUAGUGGCUUACCAAGGCUUGACGGGUAGCCGGCCUGGGAGGGUGGCCGGCCACAUUGGGACUGAGAUACGGCCCAGACUCCUACGGGAGGCAGCAGUGGGGAAUAUUGCACAAUGGGCGGAAGCCUGAUGCAGCAACGCCGCGUGCGGGAUGACGGCCUUCGGGUUGUAAACCGCUUUCGCCUGUGACGAAGCGUGAGUGACGGUAAUGGGUAAAGAAGCACCGGCUAACUACGUG
Molecule: ribosomal RNA, 467 nt
Filed under: uncultured bacterium
Lineage: Bacteria
Description: partial 16S ribosomal RNA
Rfam family: Bacterial small subunit ribosomal RNA
Source: RNAcentral